This is a long non-coding RNA of Orcinus orca (killer whale), 23857 nucleotides long. RefSeq lists it as uncharacterized. NCBI's taxonomy places the organism in Eukaryota, Metazoa, Chordata, Mammalia, Artiodactyla, Delphinidae. The transcript has 4 exons. The record is from RefSeq and is a predicted model, not a curated record.
GUGGGGUGUGUGUGUGUGUGUAGGGGGGGGUGUGUGUGUGUGUGUGUGUGUGUGUGUGUGUUUAAAAACUGCGCUAACGGAAUACUACUGUGUGUAGUCAUCGCCUGCGUUUUUUUUUUUUUUGCCCCCCUCCAACAUUAUUUUUGGGAUUUAGUUUUUAUACCCCAGGGUUUCUCAAACUUAGCACUGUUGACAUUCAGUACCAGAUAGUUCUUUUUUGGGGGGCCGUUCUGUGCACUGUAGGGUGUUGAGCAGCAUCCCUGGCCUCCACUCACCAGAUGCCAGUGACAGCCCCUCCCCAAUCAGUCGUGACGUUCAAAACUGUCUCCAGACACUGCCAAGGUCCCACCAGGGGGCAAAAUUGCCCCUGGUAGAGAACCAGUAUAUAUGUUAAGAUGUAAUUAGUUCCAGACAUCUCCUUUGUAUGUGGUAUUUUUUUUUCUCAGUGUUUUACUUUUGUUACCCACUUGGCUCCUUGGACUCUUUAAUCAAUAGAAAUUGAUAGGAAGCCAGAUGAGGAAUUCAGGCAGGGCUUUACUGGGACUCGUGCUGUGAAGGAGAGAAAACAAGGAUCGGGGGCUCUUGCUCGCUCCCUGAGGUGGGGGAGCUGGUCCUUUAAAUGGGAUGGGGGGGCAGGUCCAUGGGUCCCCCCAGAGGGGUGGCGUAGGUGGCCUCACGCCCUUGGUGGUGCUGUGUGCAGGUAUCAUGCACAGUACACUGCUUUUCCCCCAGCACUUCAGAAGUAGCAACUGGGUUUUUGGUCAUUUUAUAUCUUGUUCAGAAUUCGCCACAACUAUGCUUGGAUGCAGUUAUUUUUAGUCCCUUAUAGUUUCUCUGUAUUCUGUUGCGGAGAUUCUGGUGCUCCAGGAGAUGUUUGUCCAGGUGCAAGCACUGCAGCAAAGGGUCCCAGGUCCCAGCCUACCUCAAUUUGUGUAGUUAAGUGAACAAAUUCUCCUUGUUAAAAACUGGGCAACGUAUGGCACCAAAUGGUAUACUGUGAAAAAGAGGUCUCCCAUGCCAGUCCUCAUGUCAUUUGGUUGAGCUCCUUGAAAGCCAUCAAAAUUUCCAGUUGCUUUUGUGAGUUUUUAGAUCUCUGCAUGUACCAACGCGUGUUCUUUAAGCCCAAGAAGACAACUGAUGGAUACAUUUUCGAUUGUAAUAGAAAAUGCCACAUUGUCCUCAGAGUGGCUCCCCGGGGUGUGAAACGAGCUUCCCCCCCCCGAAUUCUGGCCAGUACUUGAAAGCACACAGCUCUCAAGUUCAUGGUGAGGUGGAAGGGUUGAGUCAGCUCUCACUUGUGUGGCUGGGUUCACCUUACUCACCUAAGCUAGCUUUGCAUCUUUUUGAAGUUUCCUUCUAUGGCAAGAUUCCCUGGCCAGGUUUUGCAGAGCUCACUUUUGCUAAGAAGAUUUGAUUCUUCUGUCAAUUUUAGUCCACAGUUUUUUUUUUUUCUACCAUGUCUGAUUUCUCAGAGUGAAUACUUGCAGUUUUCAGUGUCCUGCAAGCUCUGAUUUUUCUGGUGUUUUUCUUUCACGGAGGCAUGUGCUGACCAGUAUGAUAGCCAGUAGCCACAAAUCUUGUUUUUAUUUAAACAGCUUAGUGUGUAUUUUUUUUUCAAAAAGCUUCAUUGAAAUAUAACUCACGUACCAUACCAUUCACCAUUUGAAGUGUACACUUUAAUGGCUUUUCCUAUUCACAGAGUUGUACAACCAUCAUCACAGUCAUUUUUUAAAAUAAAUUUAUGUAUUUAUAUUUAUUUUUAGCUUCAUUGGGUCUUCGUUGCUGGGUGUGGGCCUUCUCUAGUUGUGGCGAGCUCGGGCUUCUCAUUAUGGUGGCUUCUCAUUGCAGAACACGAGCUCUAGGUGCGCGGGCUCAGUAGUUGUGGCAUGUGGACUCAGUAGUUGUGGCUCGCAGGCUCAGUAGUUGUGGCGCACUGGCUUAGUUGCUCCGUGGCAUGUGGGAUCUUCCCGGACCAGGGAUCGAACCCGUGUCCCCUGCAUUGGUAGGCGGAUUCUUAACCACUGCACCACCAGGGAACUCCUGUCGCAGUCAUUUUAAGAAUAUCUUCACUACCUCAAAAAGAAACCCUGUACCCUUUACCUGUCGCCCCCUAUCUCCCCAACCCCUACCCCAGCCCUAAGCAACCACCAAUCUACUUCUGUCUUAUGAGAUUUCCCUCUUUGGGAUAUUUCAUAUAAAUAGAAUCAUACAAUAUGUGGUCUUUUGUGAUUGGCUUCAUUUAUAAUGUUUUCAUGGUUCAUCCAUGUUGUAGCAUAUGUCAGAAUUUCCUUUUUAAGGCUGAAUAAUAUUCCUGUGUAGGGAUGGACCCCAUGUUUAUCCAUUCAUCUGCUGAUGGACACUUGGGUGGCUAACACCUUUUGGCUGUUGUGAACAUUUGUGUACAAGUAUGUGUUUGAAGCUGUUCUCAACUCUUUUGCUAGAUCCCUGGGAGUGGAAUUGCUGGGUCAUGUGGUAACUGUAUGUUUACUCAUUUGAGGAACUGCCAGACCUUUUUCCACAGCAGCUACACCAUUUUACAUUCCCACUAGCAGUGAAUGAGGAUUCUGAUUUCUCCACGUGUCACCAAGACUCGUUGUUAUUUGACUUUUUGAUUCCAACUGCCCUAGUGGGUGUGAUACCUCGUCGUGGUUUGGGUUUGCACUUCCUGGUGGCUCAUGGUGUUGAGCAUCUUUUCAUGUGUUUAUUCCCUGCGUACCUUUCUUGGAGAAAUGUCUCUUUAGCUCCUUUGCCCACUUUUAUUGGAUAACAUCUUUUUAUUCUUGAGUUGGAGUGUUUAAAAAUCCAUUCUAGAUACAAUUCCCUUAUCACAUAUAUGAUUUCCAAUUAUUUCCUCCUAUUCUGUGGAUUGGCUUUUCACUUUCUAGAUCACGUAAACACAUCCCCAGUCUUGCCCCAACCCCUGUUCAGUCACCCUGGGUGAGCCCUCCAGCACCAGAAGCAUUCCUUCUAGAACCUGGAAAAGGUUGGGGCUGGCUCUCUGGGGAGGUGGGGUGUGGGUGAGGUGGGGGUCGGCAGAGCAGAGGCUUCCCUGUGUGUGAUGGGAAUCAAACAGCUGUGCUGGGCCUGGGAGAGGCAGCAGAGGACAGGUGCUCACAGACACUCCCCUAUUCCUUACCUGUGUACUAUGCCCUUAACAUGUGCCCCCAUACUGGGAUAUAUUAUAUUUAUUAUAUAUGCUCUUAAUAUGGUUAAUUCUUUCUUUCUUUUUUUUUUUUUUGCGGUACGCGGGCCUCUCGCUGUUGUGGCCUCUCCCGUUGUGGAGCACAGGCUCCGAAUGCGCAGGCUCAGCAGCCAUGGCUCACGGGCCUAGCAGCUCUGCGGCAUGUGGGAUCUUCCCGGACCGGGGCACGAACCUGUGUCCCCUGCAUCGGCAGGUGGACUCUCAACAACUGCGCCACCAGGGAAGCACGGUUAUUUCUUUAUUUUAAAUUGAAGUAUAGUUGAUUUACAAUAUUGUGCCAGUCUCUGCUGUAUAGCAGAGUGACUCAGUUAUACAAAUACGUACACAUAUAUGUACAUUAUUUUUUUAUAAUUCUUUUCCAUUAUGGUUUAUCAGGAUAUUGAAUAUAGUUCCCUGUGCUAUACAUUAGGACCUUGUUGCUUAUCCAUUCUAAAUGUAAUAGUUUGCAUCUAUCAACCCCAAAAUCCCAGUCCAUCUCUCCCCCCAGCCCCCUCCCCCUUGGUAACCACAAGUCUGAUCUCUGUGUCUGUGAGUCUGUUUCUGUUUUGUAGAUGGGUUCACUUAUGCCAUAUUUUAGAUUCCACAUAUAAGUGAUAUUAUUUGGUAUUUGUCUUUCUCUUUCUAACUUACUUCACUUAGUAUGAUAAUCUCUAGUUGCAUCCAUUGUUUAUUUUUUUGGCCUUGCCCAGAGGCUUGUGCGAUCUUAGUUCCCCCACCAAAGAUUGAACCCGGUCCCCUGGCAGUGGAAGCAUGGAGUCCUAACCACUGGACGGCCAGGGAAUUCCCAAUAUGGUUAUUUCUUGUCCCUCCUCACUGGAAUCUAAGAAGGGUAAGGGAUUUUUGCGGUCAUUUACCACCAUAUUGUCCAGUGCAGAGACCGGUCCGGGACAUAGGAGAUGUUUAAUGAGUAUUUAUUAGAGGAAUCAGCCGCAUUUUUGUUUGUGCACACACAGAAAGUCUUUGGGGAGAGCGCUGGGGGACAGGGUGUUGGGACUGAGAGGAUCUUUUGAUUGAUAAUGGAUUGCCACAAAAAAUCCUUAUCCUUCAAAGAGACCCUAUGCUUUGGUUUGGGCAGAUUAUCAUUGUAUUAUUUAGUUGUUUUUUUUUUAAACUAGUUGCAUAGAAAUGUGUAUGAAACGAUCCCAUUUUUCUAAAAAAAUUAAGAGAAAAUCCUGAAUAUGGGCAUAUUGUCCUCGAGCACGGGGUGGGUGUGGGGGACGGGGUGGGUGUGGGGGAGAAAAACUACGACGCAGAGGUGGAGACAAAUAGAAACCACACCCCCGAGGAAGCGGCAUCUGUUAGGUACGCCCCCAGAAGGGCGGGGACAGAUACAGCUACGCCCAUGGGGCGGUCUCAGCCUCAAAACACGCCCUAGAUGCACGGAUUCUGUCUCAGAGCCCAAUCGCGUUGCAGUGGGCGGGAACUCCAGUGCUUCCGCCCAUGAUCAGCGGAUGCUGCUCGCCCCUCCCACCCCAGAGGUUCCGCCAAUUCCCAGAACGUCCCAUCUGUUCCGGCCUCGGAGUGGUGGUGGUAGUUUCCGCCACCGCUGGCUGCGGCCCCAGUUCUCCGAGGCCAGCGGGGCUCAGCGAGGGGUGGGGUGGUCACAGGCCAGGGCGGAGCUCUACGGGCAGCGGGUAGGGUCGUUUUGACACGUCUCCUGCCCCGUGGAGGUAGCUCCCCAGGCCGGUGGACCUCGGGGACCUAGGUAGGGGCUCCCGACGUUUUCACCCCGGGAGUCCGGGACCCCCGAUGGUCCCGCCGCCAGACUCCUCUGCCGGCGCCACUGCCAUGGUGGGCGAGUUGCGCACCCUCCCACUGCCUCAGAUUCUCUAUUUAUUUAUUUAUUUAUUUAUUUGAGUUUUGGCUGCGUUGGGUUUUCAUUGUUGCACGCGGGCUUUCUCUAGUUGCGGUGAGCGUGGGCUACUCUUCAUUGUGGUGCGCGGGCUUCUCAUUGCCGUGGCUUCUCUUUGUUGCUGGACACGGGCUCUAGGCGCGUGGGCUUCAGUAGUUGCGGCAUACAGGCUCAGUAGUUGUGGCUCGCGGGCUCUAGAACGCAGGCUCAGUAGUUGUGGCGGACGGGCUUAGUUGCUCCAUGGUAUGUGGGAUCUUCUCGGACCAGGGCUCGAACUCGUGUGCCCUGCAUUGGCAGGCGGAUUCUUAACUACCGUGCCACCAGGGAAGCCCAAGCCUGGCUCUCUUUAAGCCUUCCUCAAUAUCACCAAACCUAGUUUCCUUCUUUCUUUUUCUUUUUUUUUUUUUUUUUUGCCCCCACCUCCGCUUGCGGGAUCUUAGUUCCCCAACCAGGGAUGGAACCUGUGCCCCCAGCAGUGAAAGCACCAAGUCCUAACCACUGGCCGCCAGGGAAUUCCCUCAGUAUCAUCGCACCUAAGCCAAAUCACUGUAAGUCUUUUCUAGCACCCUCUUAGAGCAACCCCAUGAUUCCUUAUGCUAUGUGUUCUUCCUGGCUGCAGGGAGUGAUAAACCCACUCUGUUCAACCACAGGCAUGUAUGUGCCUGGUGGUCUUUGCCUGGGGAGGCCCUGAUGGGCUAACACAGAAGCAUUUCCAGCAGUGUCGGCACCUGGCAAAUAUUGCAUUAGUGCAGCUGAGAUUUUUAUCAUCAUCCAUCGCACGUGCAAAAGGGUGCAGACCAAUUUCUGACAAACGGGACAUCCUCAUUACUAUUCAAUUUCAUCGCAAAUUACUUUCAAAAGCCAAUUCUUGAAUCUUGUGUUCGGGCAUUUAAACCAUUUCCUUCCAUCUGCAUUUUAUUUCUUGUUGAGUAUGAAAUAGUUCAAACAAAGGAAAGUUCAGAGACCAAUAAAACAAAUCCCUCGCAUAUUUGCCACCCAGGUUUAAUAAAAUUGAACAGUGUGGCAUUUUGGCUGCAUAAAAAUAUAAAACAUGUAUUUGAAGCUCUCUUUGAAGCCCCUUCCACUCUCCCCAGAGGUAAGCAGGGUUUAGCGUCUGUGAGUCUUUCUGUUUAUGUUGUUACACUUUUACUACCUGAGUGAGCAUCCUUGAGCAGUGUGUGGAAUUCUUCUCUGGCUUUGGAAAGUUUACAUAAAUGUAAAUGGUAUUUAUUGUAUUUCACAUAGCUAUCUUUUUUUUUUUUUUUUUUUUGCGGUACGCGGGCCUCUCACUGUUGUGGCCUCUCCCGUUGCAGAGCAACAGGCUCCAGAUGCACAGGCUCAGCGUCCAUGGCUCAUGGGCCUAGCCUCUCUGCAGCAUGUGGGAUCUUCCCGGACCGGGACACGAACCUGUGUCCCCUGCAUCGGCAGGCGGACUCUCAACCACUGCGCCACCAGGGAAGCCCCACAUAGCUAUCUUUGAAAGACUAUGAACCAGUCAUUAAAAUUGUAUUUAAAUUAUCUGAUGACAGAGGAAAGUGUUCAAUAUAUAUUAUUAAAUGAAAAUGUUAUAAAGCAGUAUGUAUAAUACAAUUUUUUAAAAUUUUUGUUGAAAUAUAGUUGAUUUACAAUGUGUAGUUUGAGGUAUACGGCAAAGUGACUCAGUUAUACAUAUACAUAUGUAUCUAUUCUUUUUAAGAUUAUUUUCCAUUAUAGAUUAUUACAAGAUAUUGAGUAUAGUUCCCUGUGCUCUACAGUAGGACCUUAUUGGUUAUCUAUUUUAUAUACAGUAGUAUAUAUAUUUUAAUCACAAACUCCUAAUUUAUCCCUCCCCGCUUUCCCCUUUGGUAACCAUAAGUUUGUUUUCUAUGUCUGUGAGUCUGUUUCUGUUUUGUAAGUAAGUUCAUUUGUAUCUCUUUUUUUUUUAGAUUCCACAUAUAAGCAAUAUCAUAUGAUAUUUGUCUUUGUCUGACUUCAGUUAGCAUGAUAAUCUCUAGGUCCAUCCAUGUUGCUGCAAAUGCCAAUAUUUCAUUCAUUUUUAUGGCUGAGUAGUAUUCCAUUGCAUAUAUGUACUGCAUCUUCUUUAUCCAUUCAUGUGUAGAGGGACACUUAGGUUGCUUCCAUGUCUUGGCUAUUGUAAAUAGUGCUGCUAUGAACAUUGGGGUAUGUGUAUCUUUUCAAAUUAGGUUUUGUCUGGAUAUAUACCCAGGAGCAGGAUUACUGGAUCAUAUGGUAACUCUAUUUUUACUUUUUAAAGGACCCUCCAUACUGUUUUACAUAGUGGCUGCACCAAUUUAUAUUCCUACCAACAACAUAGGAGGGUUCCCUUUUCUCCACACCCUCUCUAGCAUUUAUUAUUGGUAGACUUUUUGAUGAUGGCCAUUCUGACUGGUGUGAAGUGAUAUCUCAUUGUAGUUUUGAUUUGCAUUUCUCUAAUAAUUAGUGAUGUUGAGCAUAUUUUCAUGUGCUUUUUGGCCAUCUGUACAUCUUCUUUGGAGAAAUGUCUAUUUAGAUCUUCUGCCCAUUGUUUUAUUUUUAUUUUUUUUAAUAUAUAGAGCUGUAUGAGCCAUUUGGAUAUUUUGGAAAUUAAUCCCUUCUGGGUCACAUCAUUUGCAAAUAUUUUCUCCUAUUCUGUAGGUUGUCUUUUCAUUUUGUUCAUGAUUUCCUUUGCUGAGCAAAAGCUUUUGAGUUUAAUUAGGUCCCAUUUGUUUAUUUUUAUUUCUAUCACUCUAGGACAGAGAUCCAAAAAAAUAUUGUUGCGAUUUAUGUCAAAGAGUGUUCUGCCUGUUGUCCUCUAGGAGUUUUAUAGUAUCCGGUCUUACAUUUAGGUCUUUAAUCCAUUUUGAGUUUAUUUUGUACAUGGUGUUAGAGAAUGUUCUAAUUCGAUUCUUUUAUGUGUAGAUGUCCAGUUUUCCCAGCACCACUUGUUGAAGGGACUGUCUUUUCUCCAUUGUAUAUUCUUGCCUCCUUUGUCGUAGAUUAAUUGACCAUAAGUACAUGGGUUUAUUUCUGGGCUUUCUAUCCUGUUCCAUUGAUUUAAUGUUUCUGUCUUUGUGCCCUUACCAUACUGUUUUUUUGUUUGUUUUUUGUUUGUUUGUUUUUUGCAGUACGCAGGCCUCUCACUGUUGUGGCCUCUCCUGUUGCGGAGCACAGGCUCUGGAUGCACAGGCUCAGCAGCUAUGGCUCACGGGCCCAGCCGCGCCGCAGCAUGUGGGAUCUACCCAGACCGGGGCACAAACCCGUGUCCCCUGCAUCGGCAGGCGGACUCUCAACCACUGCGCCACCAGGGAAGCCCUACCAUACUGUUUUGAUGACUGUAGCUUUGUAGUAUGGUCUGAAGUCAGGGAACCUGAUUCCUCCAGCUCUGUUUUUCUUUCUCAAGAUUGCUUUGGCUUUUUGGGAUCUUUUGUGUUUCCAUACAAAUUUUAAAAUUUUUGUUCUAGUUCUGUGAAAAAUGCCGUUGGUAAUUUGAUAGGGAUUGCAUUGAAUCUAUAGAUUGCCUUGGGUAGUAUGGUCAUUUUAACAAUAUUGAUUCUUCCAAUCCAAGAACAUGGUACAUCUCUCCAUCUGUUUCUGUCCUCUUUGAUUUCUUUCAUCAGUAUCUUAUAGUUUUCAGAGUACAAGUCUUUUGCUUCCUUAGGUAGGUUUAUUCCUAGGUAUUUUAUUCUUUUCGAUGCAGUGGUAAAUGGGGUUGUUUCCUUAAUUUCUCUUUCUGCUAUUUCAUUGUUAAUGUAUAGAAAUGCAAUUUCUGUAUAUCAAUUUUGUAUCCCACAACUUUACCUAAUUCAUUAAUGAGUUCUAGUAAUUCUCUGGCAUCUUUAGGAUUUUGUACAUAUAGUAUCAUGUCGUCUGCAAAACAGUGACAGUUUUACUUCUACUUCUUCUUUUCUAAUUUGCACUACUUUUAUUACUUUGUCUUCUCUGAUUGCUGUGGCUAGGAAUUCCAAAACUAUGUCGAAUAAAAGUGGUGAGAGUGGGCGUCCUUGUCUUGUUCCUGAUUUAGAGGAAAUGCUUUCAGCUUUUCACCAUUGAGUAUGAUGUUAGCUAUGGGUUUGUCAUAUAUGGCCUUGAUUAUAUUGAGAUAUAGUCCCUCUAUGCCCACUUUUUUGAGAGUUUUUAUCAUAAAUGGAUGUUGAAUUUUAUGAAGAGCUUUUUCUACACCUCUUGAGGUGAUCAUAUGGUUUUUAUUCUUCAGUUUGUUAAUGUGGUAUAUCACAUUGAUUGAUUUGUGGAUAUUGAAGAAUCUUUGCAUCUCUGGGAUAAAUCCUACUUGAUCAUGGUGUAUGAUCCUUUUGAUGUAUUGUUGGAGUUGGUUUGCUAGUAUUUUGUUGAGGAUUCUUACAUCUAUUUUUCAUCAAUGAUACUGGCCUGUAGUUUUCUUUUUUUGUGAUAUAUAUAUAUAUAUAUGUAUAAUCUUAAUUGGUUAAAUUUUUUUUAAAUUAAUAAAUCUUAUCUUUUAGAGCAGUUUUAGGUUUGUAGAAAAUUUGAGCAGAGGGUACAGAAAGUUCCCACCUACCCUUUGCCCACCACACACACACACACACACACACACACACACACACACACACACACACAGAGUUUCCCUGCCUUGCAUUCAUGUAGUACAUUUGUUACAAUUGAUGAGCUGAUAUUGAUUCAUUAUUAUUUUUAACAUUUUUUAAUUGAAGUAUAGUUGAUUUACAAUGUUGUGCCAGUCUCUGCUGUACAGUAAAGUGGCUCAGUUAUACACGUAUAGACAUUCUUUCUUUUAAUAUUCUUUUCCAUUAUGUUUUAUCACAGGAUAUUGAAUAUAGUUGCCUGUGCUAUACAGUAGGACCUUGUUGUUUAUCCAGAUACAUUAUUAUUAACUAAAGUUCUUAGCUGACAUUAGGUUUCACCCUUGGCUUUGUACAGUUCAGUGGUUUUCGACACAUGUAUAAUGGCAUGUGUCCAUCAUUAUUGUAUUAUACAGAAUAGGGUCACUUCCCUAAAAAUCCCCUGUGCUCCACCUCUUCAUCCCUCCCUCCCCCAACCCCUGGCAACCACUGAUUUUCUUUUUUAAGUUGUUUUUUUUUAAAAAUUUUUGGCUGCAUUGGGUCUUUGAUGCUGCGCAUGGGCUUUCUCUAGUUGUGGCGAGCGGGGGCUACUCUUCAUUGCAGUGUGCAGGCUUCUCAUUGAGGUGACUUCUCUUGUUGCUGAGCACGGGCUCUAGUCAUGCGGGCUUCAGUAGUUGUGGCACGUGGGCUCAGUAGUUGUGGCUCACAGGUUCUAGAGCAAGGCUCCGUAGUUGUAGCGCAUGGGCUUAGUUGCUCUGCGGCAUGUGGAAUCUUCCUGGACCAGGACUUGAACCCAUGUCCCCUGCACUGGCAGGUGGAUUCUUAACCACUGCGCCACCAGGGAAAUCCAGCCACUUAUCUUUUUAUUGUCUCCAUAGUUUUGCCUUUUUCAGAAUGUCCUAGAGUUGGAAUCAUAGUGUGUAGCCUUUUGAGAUUGGCUUCUUUAACUUAGUAAUAUGCAUUUGAGGUUUCUCUGUGUCUUUUUGUGGCUUGAUGGCUCAUUUCUCUUUAUCACUGAAUAACAUUCCACUGUCUGAAUGUACCAUACUUUAUCCAUUUACCUACUGAAGGAUAUCUUGGUUGCUCCCAGUUUUGGUCAGGUACAAAUAAGGCUGCAAAUAAGGAUAAACAUGGAUUUUUUGUGUGGAUAUAAGUUUUCAACUCCUUUGGAUAAAUACCAGGGAGUGCUAUUGCUGAAUCAUAUGGUGAGAGUAUGUUUAGUUUUGUAAGAAAUCACCAACCUGUGAAAUGGCCAACCUUCCAGAGUGGCUGGACCACUUUGCAUUCCCACCAGCAAUGGAUGAGAGUUCCUGUAGCUCCACAUCCUUGUCAGCACUUGGUGGUGUCAGUGUUCUGGAUUUUGGCCAUGCUCAUAGAUGUGUAGUGGUUUCUCAUUUUAAUUUGCAUUUCCCUGAUGACACAGGAUGUAGAGCAUCUUUUCAUAUGCUCAUUGGUAUCUUCUUUGCUGAGGUGUCUGUUUAGGUCUUCUGCCCAUUUUUAGAUUGGGUCAUUUGUUUCCUUAUUGUUGAAUUUGAAGCAUGCUUUGUAUAUUUUCAACACAAGUCCUGUAUCAGAUGUGUGUUUUGCAGAUUUUUUUUCUUCCAGUCUGUGGCUUGUCUUCUCAUUCUCUUAGCAGCACCUGUCACAGGGCAGGAAGUCCAGCUUGUCAAACUUUUUUAAAAAAAAUGUUUAUGUAUUUAUUUUGUUGCACUGGGUCUUAGUUGUGGCACGUGGGCUCCUUAGUUGCGGCUUGCCAGCUCCUUAGUUGUGGCAUCUGAGCUCUUAGUUGCGACAUGCAUGUGGGAUCUAGUUCCCUGACCAGGGAUUGAACCCCUGCAUUGGGAGCGUGGAGUCUUAACCACCACGCCACCAGAGAAGUCCCUAUCAAUCCUUUCUUUCAUGGAUCGUGGGGGUGUUGAGGUUGCAGGUGGAAGUGCUGUGUCUCAGUUGCACGGGUGGGUACAGAUCACAUCUGGGAGAGCUUGACUGGCGCCAGGGCCUUUCAGGUGGCCUGUAGGUGCCGGAAGAGAGACAUAGCAGGAGGAAAGAGGGAGUCAGCUGAAUGUUUUGGUUUGAGAUCAAAAUGAUCUGAGCGUGGGUGAGCGCUGAGGGGAAGGGCCCCUGGGCUGGUGCUGCCGUAACAAAGGACCACCAACUCAGAUGGCAUCAAACAGGGCGAGCUUAUUAAGGUGUUGGCAGGUGUCUGAAGGCUCUGAAAGAGGAUGCUUCCUGUCUUCUCCAGCUUCUGGUGGCCGGCAAUCCCUUGGUGCUCCUUGGCUUGUAGACCAUCGCGCCAGUCUCUGCCAGCAUCUUCAUGUGGCCUUUUUUUUUUAAUAUUUAUUUUUUUAUUUAGGCUGCACCAGGUCUUAGUUGUGGCAUGUGGGAUCUAGUUCCUGACCAGGGAUCAAAGCCGGGCCCCCUGCAUUGGGAGCGCAGAGUCUUAUCCAUUGGACCACCUGGGAAGUCCCUUCAUAUGGCCGUUUCCUUGUGUGUCUGUGUCGGGUUUCCCUCUUAUAAGGUCACCAGUCAUUAGAUAAAGGCCCACCCUACUCCAGUAUGACUUCAUCUCAACUAAUGAAAUCUGCCAUGACUUGUUUCCAAUUGAAGCCCACUUCUCAGGUGCCAGGGGUUGGGCUUUGAACAUAUCUUUUUGGAGGACACAACUUGACCUGCAGCAGAGGGGGGACCCUGGUGGGUGAUGACAAGGCAGGAGCAGAGGCCAUGGGAGUUGGGGGGCGGGUUAGGCAGUGAGGAGUCCAGGGUGUGGAGGACAGAGCACUGGGAGUGUCCUUGUUGGGGACUUUGGGACCCUGAAUGAUGCAGCUCCGAGGGUGCUAGGUAGCACCAGAGGGAGAAGGGGAGUGAACAGGGGAGGGGGAUGUGACAGAGACCGGAGAGGAAGUUGGUGAUGGCAAUGGGGAGAGGAUGACUUGGGGGAGUGUGGGUAGCAGAAAUAGGCGGAAGAGCCUUUGGGAAUGGGCAAACUGUCCUGCUCACCAGCAGUACCAGUCAUUGUCCUGAUUGCAAAGAGAGACUUAGGACCUAAGACAGAAGAGGCUGUGCAGUGGCAGCCAGGAGGGGGGCCCAAGGGAGCACUCUGUCCAGAGUUCUUUCAGUUCUGGGAACGUUCACCCCCUCUCUUCCCUUUGUUCUCCCACAUGGCCAAAUUUCCAUGUCCAUAUGGAGUCUCACCUGUUUGCACCACUGCAUAGUUCCCUUGCAUGGUCCUGAUAAAGUUCAUUAUACUCUCUGACACUUCAGUGCGGUAUUUGGUCACUUUGAACUCUGUUGCUUUUAUCAUCCUUUUAUAUCCACGCUUAGUAUCUGCUGUAGACUGAAUGUGUCCCCCCAAGUUCAUGCUGACUCCUACUCCCUCCCUUCCGUGGGAUGGUGUUGGGAGAUGGGGCCUUUGGGAGGUCAUUAGUCAUGAGGGUGGGGCCCCAUGAUGGGAUUAGUGCCCAGUCUGUGGAUUCUGUUAUGGCAGCCUGAGCAGGCACUGAAUUAUUAUGAAAUUUACUGAACUCACCUGUGCCGAGUUCCCAGCCCAUCUGGUGUGUCAUCAUUGCUCAGGGGUGGCGUCUUUUAUUAUUAAUAAGACUGUUCCCUAUCUUAAACUUGGGGUGGUUUUCAUGUUAAGCCUCUUCCCCUGGGAUGGGGACCUGUUCGGGGCUGGCAUUAGUGACUGAUGGCUCAGACAGGACCCAGAAACCAUUCCCUGAGAGGCCACAGGGCCAUGAAGGGGAACAUUCUGGCAUUGCUGCUGCUGAGCCCAGCAACAGUGGUACAGAUGUUCUCACCAGACGGCAGCUGCUGACUGGCACCCCGAGUGAGGUGAAUCCCUGGUCUUGGUGUGGGCACCUUCCCUCGGUGGGGAUGCUGCAUGGUCCUGCCAGAGGCUGGCCAGAUGGAGGCCCAGGCGCCCAGCUGGCUGAUGUCUGAGUUGGGCAGGGCAUUUUCUGAGGGUGCAACUCCAGAACCCCACUCAAAAGUUCAUUUGCCCCCUUAAACAGCCAAUCUCUCUGAGCUGGUCUCCUCCCGUGCACACCGGGGAUAUUGUCACCCCUUCCGUGGGCUGUGCGGGUGGGCCCUGGGUGUGAUGCGGCCACAGGUCUCUGGGGGUAGGAGUGUGGUGGCCUGGAGGACUUGGGGAUGCGUGGGGUCACCUGGCCUCUGUCUCACCAACUCCCUCCAGCCCUGCCUGCUCAAGAUCUUGUCCUCUCCAUGAGGGGGACUCAGUAGAAGAUGGGACGUUUGCUGGGCUUCUGAUGAUUUGGUUGUAAGUGAAUGAAUGGAAAAUCCCUCUUCCUUCAGAAGGACUUUCCCUUUUUUUUUUAAGAUUCUUUUCACGUGGACCACUUUUAAAGUCUUUAUUGAACUUGUUACACUAUUGCUUCUGUUUUUAUGUUUUGGUCUUUUGGCUGCGAGGCAUGUGGGAUCUUAGCUCCCCAACCAGGUAUCGAACCCACAGCCCCUGCACUGGAAGGCGCAGUCUUAACCACUGGACCUCCAGGGAAGUCCCAGGACUUUCCAUUUUCUCAAGGGUGGACACCUCUCCUUCCCAGCCUGGAGUCAGCAGCCAGCCAAGGCCGGGCUCCAGUUUCCCUCAAGUCCCUGGGCCUCUUAGGGGCUGGAGGGGCUGCCCUGACACACGGGUCUCUCUCACACCUCUUUUUAGCCGACUAGUUGCUGCAUGUCCUGAGGUCCUGUGGGAACACAGAAGGAGCUGUGAGGCCCCAACGUCCCAAGAACUCGUGGUCCCCGUGGGGAGAUGUUGACUUGUUCACUGGAUGUCCCCUCCGUGCCCUCAGUGGGCCUGGGCCUCUGUGGACCCGGGACAGGUCUGGGUGAGGUGGGACGAGCCCGUCUGACAGCAGAGAGCCACAUUCAGCCUCCAGACCUGCAUCAGAGAGAUUCUGCAACCUCUAGCUGGUAGGUGAUCACCGCCAGGCGCCCACAGUGCCGGCCAGGUUGGAGGGCGGGCUCAGAACAGCGCUGCGUGUGCUGGUUCCCCUCCUCAGCCAGCCCCGUAGGCGUGUGGGGUGGCGUAGGACUCCGGAGUGUUUGAGGAUGUGGCCGUGGACUUCACCCCGAGGGGUGGGUGUUGCCGAAUCCUUCCCAAAGGAAUGUCCACAGAGAAAUGAUGCUGGAGACCUGGCCUUGCUUGGGAACACUGUCCACUCCUCCACGUUCCCUGGGCCAGGGCUCCCCGGCACUGCUGACAUGGGGGCCGUCCUGGGCGCUGUGGGGUUUGGAGUGGCAUCCCUGGCCCCGCCCCCUCGAUGCCGGGAGCCCCCCAGUCGUAACAAUCCCAGAGGUCGCCAGACAUGUGCGCGUGUCCAGGGGCAAGCUCACCUGGGUGAGAACAGGCAGAUUCACACCUUAAGGCAAGGUGUGUUUAUUUGGCUUCUGCUCUUGCUGGAGUGUUUCCCGGAUUCGGGAGCCGUGGCAACAGCACCGGGACCCGCCCUCAGUGAAGAGCCCUCCCCAGGCGGCCACGUUUCCCCAGCAGUGACUCGACCUCCUGUUUCCUGAUCCCCUUUGGCGUGCAGGGUGAGGGCGGCUGGGGGAUUUGGUCCCGUGAAAACCAUCACCUGCGUCCACAGAAGUCUGGGUGCCUGUUGGCAGGUCUAGGGUCAGAUUUGCCAAUCCUUGGAGCCCUGGAGACGGCAGUAUCGGCUCCAGUCUGAGGGAAGGAUUUGUAGUUCGGGGCUGCGUCCUCCUACACCAUCCAUCCCGCAUCUUCCUGUGCGAUCAGGAAGCCCCACAGACCUCCCAGGAUCUCCCAGUGGGACCAAGAAGAGUCAGGGACUCUGGAUGGAAAAAUUGUCCAGGGCACCUGGAGAAAAAACUAAAUUAAAAAAACUAAAAAAAAAAAAAAAAGUAUUUGUUAUUUCUACCCUUUGUUGCCAACAUCAGCAGACCCCUCGGAGGUCAACACCAGCCCUGUUCUCUACCCAGUGGUGGAUGCUGCUUCCCCACAUUUCCCUUCACAUUUUGGGGCCCAUGUUUUAAGAUAUCUCUAUGGGGUUUGCCUGGUUUUACUCACCUUUGUCCAGCCAUUUCUUUCUUUCUUUCUAGCAUUUUAAAAUUGAGAUAUAAUUCACAUACCAUAAAAGUCACCAUUUUAAACGGUCCAAUUCACUUGUUUAUAGUAUAUUCACAGGGUUGUGCAGCCAUCACCACUAUCUAGUUCCAGAACAUUCUCAUCACUCCCAAAACAAGACCCCCUGCCCAUUAGUAGUCAGUCCCCACCCUCCUUCCCCAGCCCCUGACAACCACAGGUGCACUCUCUAUAGAUUUGCCUGUUCUGGAUGGGUUUUUUUUUUUUAAUUUUUAAAAAUUAUUUUUAUUUUAUUUUAUUAUUAUUAUUUUUGGUUGCCUUAGGUCUUCGUUGCUGUGCAUGGGCUUUCCCUAGUUGUGGCGAGCAGGGGCUACUCUUCGUUGUGGUGCACGGGCUGCUCAUUGCAGUGGAUUCUUUUGUUGUGGCACACAGGCUCUAGGCGCACAUGCUUCGGUAGUUGCAGCAUGCAGCCUCAGUAGUUGUGGCAUGUGGGCUCAGUAGUUGUGGUGCAUGGGCUUAGUUGCUCCGUGGCAUGUGGGAUCUUCCCGGACCAGGGAUUGAACCCGUGUCCCCUGUGUUGGCAGACAGAAUCUUAAACCCUGCGCCACUAGGGAAGCCUGUUCUGGAUGUUUUGCAUCAAUGGAAUCACACUCUGUGUGUCCUUUUGUGUCUGGCUUCUCUCACCGAGCAUCGUGUUCUCAAGGUCCAUCCAUGUUGUAGUGAGUGUCAGUGCUUCUCUCCUUUUCAUGGCUGAGUAAUAUUCCAUUGUAUGGAUACACACAUAGUGUUUAUCUGUUCACCAAUUGAUGGACAUUUGGGUUGUUUCUACGUUUUGGCUGUUGUGAAUCAUGCUGCUGUGAACAUUUGAGUACAAGUUUUUGUGUGGACAUCUGUUUUCAUUUCUCUUGUAACUCCAUGUUUAACUUCUUGGGGAACUGCCAAACUUUUCCACAGCGGCUGCACAGUUUAACAUUCCCACCAGCAGUGCAUGAGGUCCACUUUCUCCACAUCUUCGCCAACACUCUUUUGUAUGAGUUUUUGUUUUCGGCCAUGCUGUGCAGCAUGGAAUCAAAUCCGCGCCCCCUGCAGUGGAAGCAUGGAGUCUUAACCACAGGAUCACCAGGGAAGUCCCCUGUAUGAGUCUUCUUUUUUUUUUUUUUUAAUAAAUUAAUUAAUUAAUUUAGUUUUGGCUGCAUUGGGUCUUUGUUGCUGCAUGUGGGCUUUCUCUGGUUGCAGCGAGCGGGGGCUACUCUUCGUUGCGGUGUUCGGGCUUCUUAUUGAGGUGGCUUCUGUUGUUGCUGAGCACAGGCUCUAGGCGCAUGGGCUUCAGUAAUUGCGGCUCGUGGGCUCUAGAGCACAGGCUCAGUAGUUUUGGCACACAGGCUUAGUUGCUCCACGGCAUGUGGGAUCUUCCUGGACCAGGGAUCAAACCUGUGUCCCCUGCAUCGGCAGGCAGAUUCUUAACCACUGACCCACCAGGAAAGUCCCUGUAUGAGUCUUCUUGAUCCUACUAUGUAUGAAGUGGUAUCUCAUUGUCGUUUUGAUUUACAUUUCCCUAUUGAGUAGUGAUGUUGAACAUCUUUUCAUCUGCUUAUUGGCCAUUUAUAUGUCUUAUUUGGAGAAAUGUGUAUUAAAAUCCUUUGUCCAUUUUUUUUUUUUUUGUGGUACGCGGGCCUCUCACCGUUGUGGCCUCUCCUGUUGCGGAGCACAGGCCCCGGAUGCGCAGGCUCAGCAGCCAUAGCUCAGGGACCUAGCCGCUCCACGGCAUGUGGGAUCUUCCCGGACCAGGGCAUGAACCCAUGUCCCCUGCAUCAGCAGGCAGACUCUCAACCACUGCGCCACCAGGGAAGCCCCUUUGUCCAUUUUUAAUUUUUUUUUUUCUUUUUAUUGUUCAGUGUCACUCUCUUUUUCUAAGACUUUAGUAAUUUUUUUGUCCAUUUUAUUGUAGACUGGAGGACUCAGCUUACAACCAAGGAGUCAACUUCUAAACAGGAUAUUUUUGGAGAAAAGACAUUUGAGGGCAUAAAAAUGGUAAGAUUCAGAAGCGAUAGAUCCUGGUCCUUUGCUCUCAGUAAAGUCAGUUGGGAUCAGGAGAGAAAUGUGAGGCAAAUGACUUUUAUUCAAGACAAAAUUGUAUCUCUGGGGAAAGUCUUUGAAAAGUAUGAAUCAGGAGAAAACUAAUGCAAACUUUUUCUGCCUAAAGCCAGUUGGCAAAUGUUUUUGGUUUUGAGUUCCGUGGGUUUUCUAUGACAGCACCUCAGGCAAUAAAGGAAGGAACGUGUCCGUGUUCCAAUAACCCCCUUUUCCCCUCCCAGUAACCCUUUAUUUACAUGGGGUUGGAUUUGGUCAGCAGGCCAGAGUUUGCCGGCCCCACCCUAAACCUAACUCAAAAGUUUUUUUUUCUGGAACAUUCCCAGAAGUAAACAUUUCCACAGACGUUGCUCAGUUGGAGUGAGUGUUUGAAGGAGAAUUCAGAAUUAAACAGGGAUCCAAAACUGACUUCCUGUAAUCUGCCUCAGGAGAGCCACAAAUGUGAUGGAGUCUCUGGCAAUGCAUUCACCCUCCUCGCUUCACACACACUUACUCAGGACCCAGGCACCUCUCACACUUGCUCACACUCUCCCAGAAUCAGAGACUCUGCGUCUGUGACCACAGCCGGGCUCGUGCUGGGGAAGGCCCUAUGGGGCGGAAGAGCCUCCAGGAGGAGCCCAGAUGUGGCACAAGCACUGGCAGGAAACUUGGGAAGUCCAUCAUCCUUCCGGAAGCGCAUGAGAACUCACCAGGGGGAGGCUCUGCAAGGAUGCCCAGUGCUCAGAGCCUUCAGCCCACACAAAACAUAUUAAUAAUUCUACAGUGAAAUGUAGAAAGAGUCAUCCUAAGUGGGAUAAAUAAUACUACAAAGUGCUGUACAAAAGUUGAGGUCAGAUUUUCCCAAAAAUUAAUGCAGAAAUGAUCUUACAUUACUGCAAAAUGAGUUGCCAAAAUUACACAUUCAAAGACUUGUGGAUUUUGGAAUUGCAGAUAAGGGUCUGGGGAGCUCUAUAAAAUUUCUAAACCUGUAUGCACCUAAUAACUUGGCCUCAAAAUACUGUAAGCAAAAAAAGAGUUAAAGGAAUUAAAUUAAAGGAGAAACUGCAAAAUUCACAGUCAAAAUGGGAGAUUUAGGGCUUCCCUCGUGGCACAGUGGUUGAGAGUCUGCCUGCCAAUGCAGGGGACAUGGGUUCGUGCCCUGGUCCGGGAAGAUCCCACAUGCCGUGGAGCGGCUGGGCCCGUGAGCCAUGGCCGCUGAGCCUGUGCACAACAACUGAAGUCUGCAUGCCUAGAGCCCGUGUUCUGCAACAAGAGAAGCCACCACAAUGAGAAGCCCAUGUACCAUGAUGAAGAAGUUGCUGCAACUAGAGAAAGCCCGCACACAACAAAGAAGACCCAGUGCAGCCAAAGAUACAUAAAUAAAUUAAUUAAACAAACCCAAAAGAAUUAAGAAACUGGUAAUAGAAACAUAAAUAUUGAUAAUAACCUUGAAUGUAAAUGGAUUAAAUGCCCCAAACAAAAAAUACAGACUGGCUGAAUGGAUACAAAACAAGACCCAUAUAUAUAUAUAUAUAUAUAUAUAUAUAUAUAUAUAUAUAUAUGCUGUCUACAAGAGACCCACUUCAGACCUAGGGACACAUACAGACUGAAAGUGAAGGGAUGGAAAAAGAUAUUCCAUGCAAAUGGAAAUCAAAAGAAAGCUAGAGUAGCAAUACUCGUAUCAGAUAAAGUAGACUUUGAAAUAAAGACUGUUACAAGAGAUAAGGAGGGACACUACAUAAUUAUCAAAGGAUCAAUCUAAGAAGAAGAUAUAAGAACUAUAAAUGUUUAUGCACCCAAUAUAGGAGCCCCUCAAUACAUAAGGCAAAUUCUAACAACCAUGAAAGGCGAAAUCGACAGUAACACAUUAAUAGUAGGGGACUUUAACACCCCACUUACACAAAUGGACAGAUCAUCCAAACGGAAAAUAAACAAGGAAUCACAAGCUUUAAAUGACACAAUAGACCAGAUAGGUCUAAUUGAUAUUUAUAGAACAUUCCACCCAAAAGUGGCAGAAUACACUUUCUCCUCAAGGGCACACAGAAUAUUCUCCAGGAUAGAUCACAUCUUGGGUCACAAAUCAAGCCUCGGAAAAUUUAAGAAAAUUGAAAUCAUGUCAAGAUCUUUUCUGACCACAACACUAUGAGAUUGGAAAUCAAUUACAGGAAUGCAGCAAAAGCAGUUCUAAGAUGGAAGUUUAUAGCAAUUCAAUCUCACCUCAAGAAAGAAGAAAAAUCUCAAAUAAACAUCUAACCCUACACUUAAAACAACUAGAGAAAGAAGAACAAAGAAAACCCAAAGUCAGUAGAAGGAAAGCAGUCAUAAAGAUCAGAGCAGAAAUAAAUGAAAUAGAAACGAAGAAAACAAUAGCAAAGAUCAAUAAAACUAAAAGCUGGUUCUUUGAGAAAAACAAAAUUGAUAAACCUUAGCUAGACUCAUCAAGAAAAAAAGGGAGAGGACGCAAAUCAAUAAAAUCAGAAAUGAAAAAGGAGAAAUCACAACUGACACUGCAGAAAUACAAAGGAUUAUAAGACUAUUACAAACAACUAUAUACCAAUAAAAUGGACAACCAUGGAGAAAUGGACAAAUUCUUGGAAAUGUACAAUUUUCCAAGACUGAACCAGGAAGAAUUAGAAAAUAUAAACAGACCUAUCACAAGUAAUGAAAUUGAAACCGUAAUUACAAAUCUUCCAACAAACAAAAGUCCAGGGCCAGAUGGCUUCACAGGCAAAUUCUAUCAAACAUUUAGAGAGGAGCUAAGGCCAAUCCUUCUCAAACUCUUCCAAAAACUUGGAGAGGGAGAAACACUCUCAAAUUCAUUCUACGAAGCCACCAUCACCCUGAUACCAAAACCAAAAAAAGAUAUCACAAAAAAAGAAAAUUAUAGACCAGUAUCACUGAUGAACAUGAUGCAAAAAUGCUGAACAAAAUACUAGCAAACAGAAUCCAACAGCACAUCAAAAGGAUCAUACACCAUGAUCAACUGGGGUUUAUCCCAGGCAUGCAAGGAUUCUUCAAUAUAUGGAAAUCAAUCAAUGUGAUACAUCACAUUAACAAAUUAAGGAAUAAAAACCAUAUGAUCAUUUCAAUAGAUGCAGAAAAACCUUUUGACAAAAUUCAACACCAUUUAUGAUAAAAACUCUCCAGAAAAUGGGCAUAGAGGGAACCUACCUCAACAUAAUAAAGGCCAUAUAUGAUAAACCCACAGCAAGCAUCAUACUCAAUGAUGAGAAACUGAAAGCAUUUCCACUAAGAUCAGGAACAAGACAAGGAUAUCCACUCUUGCCACUCUUAUUCAACAUAGUUUUGGAAGUCCUAGCCACAGCAAUCAGAGAAGAAAAAGAAAUAAAAGGAAUACAAAUUGGAAAAGAAGAAGUAAAACUGUCACUGUUUGCUGAUGACAUGAUAGUGUACAUAGAAAAUCAUAAAGAUGCCACCAGAAAACUACUAGAACUAAUCAAUGAAUUUGGUAAGUUUGCAGGAUACAAAAUUAAUGCACAGAAAUCUCUGGUAUUCCUAUACACCAACAAUGAAUAAUCAGGAAGAGAAAUUAAGGAAACACUCCCAUUUACCAUCGCAAGAGAAAGAAUAAAAUACCUAGGAAUAAACCUGCCUAAGGAGGUGAAAGACUCAUACUCAGAAAACUAUAAUACACUGAUGAAGGAAAUCAAAGAUGACAUAAACAAAUGGGGAAAUAUACCAUGUUCUUGGAUUGGAAGAAUCAAUAUUGUGAAAAUGACUAUAGUACCCAAAGCAAUCUACAGAUUCAAUGCAAUCCCUAUCAAACUACCAAUGGCAGUCUUCACACAAUUAGAACAAAAAUCUUACAAUUCGUAUGGAAACACAAAAGACCCUGAAUAGCCAAAGCAAUCUUGAGAAAGAAAAAUGGAGUUGGAGGAAUCAGGCUCCCUGACUUCAAACUAUACCACAAGGCUACAGUAAUUAAGACACUAUGGUACUGGCACAAAAACAGAAAUAUAGAUCAAUGGUACAGGAUAGAAUGCCAGAGAUAAACCCACGCACAUAUGGGCACCUAAUUUAUGACAAAGGAGUCAAGAACAUACAAUGGAGAAAAGACAGCCUCUUCAAUAAGUGGUGCUGGGGAAACUGGACAGCUACAUGUAAAAGAAUGAAAUUAGAACACUACCUAACACCAUACACAAAAAUAAACUCCAAAUGGAUUGAAGACUUAAAUGUAAGACCAGACACUAUAAAACUCUUAGAGGAAAAUAUUGGAAAAACACUUUGACAUAAACCACAGCAAGAUCUUUUUUGACCCACCUCCUAAAGUAAUGGAAAUAAAAACAAAAAUAAACAAAUGGGACUUAAAACCUUUUGCACAGCAAAGGAAACCAUAAACAAGACAAAAAGACAACCCUCAGAAUGGGAGAAAAUAUUUGCAAAUGAAACAACAGACAAAGGAUUAGUUUCCAAAAUAUACAAACAGCUCAUGGAGCUCAAUAUCAAAAAAACAAAUAAUCCAGUUAAAAAAUGGGUGGGGGCUUCCCUGGUGGCGCAGUGGUUGAGAGUCCGCCUGCCGAUGCGGGGGACACGGGUUCUUUCCCCGGCCCGGGAGGAUCCCACAUGUCGCAGAACGGCUGGGCCCGUGAGCCAUGGCCGCUGAGCCUGUGCGUCCGGAGCCUGUGCUCCGCAACGGGAGAGGCCACGACAGUGAGAGGCCCACGUACCGGAAAAAAAAAAAAAAAAAAAAAAAAGGCGGAAGACCUAAAUAGACAUUUCACCAAGGAAGACGUACAAAUGGCCAAGAGGCACAUGAAAAGGUGCUCAACAUCACUUAUUACUAGAGAAAUGCAAAUCAAAACUACGAGGAGUUAUCACCUCACACUGGUCAGAAUGACCAUUAUCCAAAAAUCUUGAAAUAGUAAAUGCUGGAAAGGAUGUGGUGAGAAGGGAACCCUCUUGCACUGUUGAUGGGAAUGUAAAUUGAUACAGCCACUAUGGAGAACAGUAUGGAGGUUCCUUAAAAAACUAAAAAUAGAACUACCAUGUGACCCAGCAAUCCCACUACUGGGCAUAUACGCUGAGAAAACCAUAAUUCAGAAAGAGACAUGUACCACAAUGUUCAUUGCAGCACUAUUUACAAUAGCCAGGACAUGGAACCAACCUAAAUGUCCAUCAACAGAUGCAUGGAUAAAGAAGAUGUGGCACAUAUAUACAAUGGAAUAUUACUUAGCCAUAAAAAGAAAAGAAAUUUAGUCAUUUGUAGUGAGGUGGAUGGACCUAGAGUCUGUCAUACAGAGUGAAGUAAGUCAGAAAGAGAAAAACAAAUACCAUAUGCUAACACAUAUAUAUGGAAUCUAGGGGAAAAAAAUUGGUACUGAUGUACCCAGUGGCACGGCAGGAAUAAAGAGGUAGACAUAGAGAAUGGACUUGAGGACAUGGGGUGGGAGGGCAAAGCUGGGGCGAAGUGAGAGUAGCAUCGACAUAUGUACACUACUGAAUGUAAAAUAGCUAGUGGGAAGCAGCAGCAUAGCACAGGGAGAUCGGCUCUGUGCUUUGCGAUGAUCUAGAGGGGUGGGAUAGGGAGGAUGGCAGGGAGGCUCAAGAGGGAGGGGAUAUGGGGACAUGUGUAUGCAUAUGGCUGAUUUGCUUUGUUGUGCAACAGAAACUAACACAGUAUCGUGAAGCAAUUAUACUCCAGUAAAGAUGUAUUAAAAUAAAAAGAUACAUGUACCCCUAUGUUCAUAGCAGCACUAUUUACAGUAUAGCAGCACUAUUUACAGUAGCCAAGACAUGGAAGCAACCUACGUGUCCAUCAACAGAUGAAUGGAUAAAGAAGAUGUGGUACACACACACACACUGGAAUACUACUCAGCCAUAAAAAAAAAUGAAAUAAUGCCAUUUGCAGCAACAUGGAUGGACCUAGAGAUGAUCAUACUAAAUGUUCUGAGGACUCAAGCCCAGAAGACAGCUUCUGAGAUCACUCUGAGGGACCGCUCCAAAGAGAUGUAAGGGCAAAUCAAAUUGAGAACAAGAGCCCUAACUCUCCCUGUUGAAAAUAAGGAAAGAGAUUUAUCUCUUCUCCUUUUGGUAGACCAUUUUCUUUAGAGAACGUGUGGUGGGGUAAAUUCUUUCUCUGUCCUUUGAAAUGUAAAUAAACCUUUUAAAAAACUAAAUAA